GAGAUGGCUCAGAGGUUAAGAGCACUGACUGCUUUUCCAGGGGUCCUGAGUUCAAUUCCCAGCAACUCA
RNAcentral lists this transfer RNA (69 nucleotides) under Mus musculus (house mouse). Its description in RNAcentral is "tRNA-Ser". The record is from RNAcentral. Lineage: Eukaryota; Metazoa; Chordata; Mammalia; Rodentia; Muridae.